CCCACUUGUGGUCGCAUUCUCAAGAGCGGCUGUCUGCGCCGCGGGGCAUCACUUUCGCUUCUGCCUCCUCCUGCGCCUAUUGCGGCAACUACUCACGCUCCUACUGGACGAGGAGAGGGAGGUGAAUCCGUGGCAGAGCUCUGCUGAACAUAUGCAAGUAAAGAAUGAAGAGCCAAAGAAAUGCACUACUUCAGUUUCUACAUCAGAAGAUCAGUAAGGCAGAAAUUCUACUUCAGACUGCUGCAGACAAGAGCAUAGGGCUCCCUCUCCCCUCUGGCUCCCAGCCAGAGGACUUUCUUCCCAAGAGGAGCAGCACUUCAGCAUCAUUCAUACCGACACCAGCUACUUGUUUCUGAGGCUAAGUAUCAGAGUGCAUCUAAGCAGCUGGCACACUCUGCGAAUCCAGUCCCAAGCUCCUGUUCCUGGAGACCUGAGAAUCAUGGCAGGCUCUUACAUUAACCUUAGAACAAGGAGACUCCUAAUUUAAUUUCUUAUAUAUUAGCUUAAUUUAUAAACCCUGUCAAGUACUAACUACUGGAUUUGGAAGGCUGGGAGAAGAGCUAGUCUCCAAACAUUUCUACAAGGUCUGUGGAAGUGGCAUGAGGUUGGCCUCUUACACAUGGCAAAUCCACUUGCACAAUUCAGCACAGCAGCUUCCUCUGGGAAGGCCCUCCACCAAGACCAGAGCAGUCAGCUCAGAUGCAACUUGGAGACACAAGUUCGACAUUCACGCAUGCCCAUCUACAGCACAACGCAUGCAAGCAUUCUGUCGCCCUGCUCCCCCACAACCUGUGCUACUCGCAACGCAGGGCGAGGCCAAGCCCCUGACGCAUGCGCACCUCAGCAGGCCCAGCCCACAGCAAGUGGCAGGAAGGAGAAACCCAAGGGAGGAGGUCUGUAAGUGGAUACACUGUAACCAACCGAGUCUAAACGCCAGAAGAAGAACCUUCCAGACUGCGAGUCACAGUUCUAGCCCUGCCGAGGAGAUCAUAGCAGCCCCCAGCUCAGAAUCUGCAGAAGCACACAGCUCCAUCCACAGCACUCAGGGUAUGGAGCCUCUGAACCCGUCCAGCUAGGAUAUCACUAGCUUGCUCAGCCGUGGAGUCGACGAGGAGGAAGAACUACAGGGUCAGUGCCUGGAUGGGACUCGUGCUUUAGCGAUCUCAGGAAACCGAGGUUCCCUGGGAGAGGCGAGUGGACUGGACGGUGGCCCAGCACCACGACUGCUCUCAGAGUGCAGCCCUUCAGCGCCUCCUUCCCACACCCUCGGCUCCAAUGCCUUGAUCUUUCUCUUUGGGUUUCUACUUUUCCAGUUGUGGAGGCUGCGGUGCUGUCGCUUACUGAAGAGUCUGAAGAGGAGGAAAAGGAGGCACAACCCGAACCUGAGCAAGGCACAGCAGCAGCAGCAGAAAAGUCAAAGUUGGCAGGAGCCCAAGGCGGAGAAGAAAAAGAAGGCAGCGGCGUUGGCGCAGGAGCUCCUGGCUCCAUACAGGACGAAAACCGCCAGAGCAUCGGCGGCAGCAAUGGCAGUGAUGAACACAGCGAGGACAACAAGGAACCCUGGCAGCAGGAGCUGCCCCUCCAGGACGCCGUCUGGGGGCUGGAGCCUGGCGAUGCACAGCAAGCCUUCGUCCACGUCUUCACCCCAUUGCAGCUGCAGGUGCAGGAGGGCAUUUUCCGACGCACACAGUUCCCCAGAGAUUUCCUGCGAUUUGGUUUCAGAACAGAAGAGCCUACUGGAGGAGACAUCAGAGGGCCUUAAUGUUGAGAAGCAUGCCACCCCCCUUGGGUGUGGGCCAGCUUGUCAUGGUAACCGUGGUUGUCCCCUGUUAUGCCAUCCUUGUCCAGCAGCGGGAUGAGAGAUGGUUUGUUCUGGAGCCACAGCCAUUCUGGCAGCCUGUGUUCCCACACCACCCUUUCCUCCUCCUUUCUUUCCUCCUUCACUCUUGUUUCUUCCACCUAUGCCUCCCCCUGGCCAGGCCCAAUUUGGCCCAUUCCCUUUUGUUAUCAUCCAUUUUUUAAUAUUCCCCAUUGUCUAAGGGAUAGUCUCUGUGCCACUUUUUGCCAGAGUGUCUUUGAGCCGGAUUCGUAUUUUGCAUAGCACCCCAUCAAGAGCUCAUCAAAUGUCUAUUAAACAUAUUAACGAAAAGUACAAGUGCAUUGACCCAUUGACCCUGAGAGUUGUUCCUUUAGUAUGCAAAUUUAGGACUAUCUAGCUGACAAAUGCCUAGGGUAAUGAAACAAUUUGCCAUGAAAUUGGAAGUCUGAAAUAGGAGGGAAAAAAAAGAGGUCUUGCAAAUCUAUAACACCUACUUCUGUGUGCAUGUCUAAUACAUCUUUGUAUUUAAAUGCCACCUAUAUAGUGUUUCAUUACAAAAAAUAUAUAAAGAGCUCUGAUUAAUUGGCCUAAAGAAAAAAUAAGCACUUAAAUCAAAUACUGUAUCUGAAUAAUAGAAACUUUAAGCCUAAAUGCUUUUUCAAGUUCAUGUGACUUUAGUAAAUAUUUAAUAAAUGACCUGGUUUUAAAACUAUUGGUAAAAUAUAAUUAGAAAUGUCUUCAGAAUUUUCAACAUAUAUUAUUCUUUAGAUUUAUUUGUCAAGCAGUUUACUAUGUACCUCUGGCAGAUAUUAAAAGGUGUCAACAUUUACACGAGUGUUAUAAAGCAUUAUAAAGCUUGCAGCCAAAAGGAGAAUUAGUCUUGUUUGUGUAAUUUUUUUAAUAAAUAAGGCAUUUAACAUUGUUGGUUUAAUAAAAACAACAAAACCCCUGAGUUUUUGGCCAAAAAAACCCACCUCAUUUAUUUAGCCUUAUGUGUCUUACUUAAACACCUGAAAAACACAGAUAUCAAAAUGGUUAACAGGGAAAUAGCUUUAAAUGAUGACUACCACAGUUUUCCUAAGUAAUCUCCAUAAACUACUUUAAAAAUUAGUUAAGUAUGUAAAUGUAAUGGAAUACAGGCUUGUAAAUAAACUUAUAUAAUUUAAAGUCUAAAGUUAUAUUUAAUUAAAUGUUAAACAUUAA
Molecule: RNA transcript, 3022 nt
Organism: Symphalangus syndactylus (siamang)
Lineage: Eukaryota; Metazoa; Chordata; Mammalia; Primates; Hylobatidae
Source: RefSeq, a predicted model, not a curated record